AUUUAACAAUUUAUUGCUAAUCAGAAAUAGUUAAUGAUUUGUAAAAAUCAUUAUCAUUUAACUCCAACGUAUCAUUGGUUAAGCCAUCUAAUUUUGAAAAAUUUAUUAUCUAGAUAUAAUUUAUAUAAAAUAUUAAUUUUAAUAGAAGUUAAAUAUUUUAUUGCUCAUGUGAUUAAUGUUAAGAUUUAUUUAGACAUUUUGAGAUUAGAAUGCAUCAUUGCUGGAUCUAGGGUGAGGUGAGUGAGACAGUUGCCUUAGGCAAAAAUUAUGACGGGGCACAAAAAUGCAAUUGCAAUUUCACACACAAGUUUAAUUAUAUUUAUCUUGAUAAUAUUUUGUUCUGUAGAGCCAAUCUAAAAAGACAUAAUGGUUUAUUUUCCUAAUGCAUAAUACGUAUCAAGGGAAAGAGAAACCAAUGCCAAUUAAAUUGAU
Molecule: long non-coding RNA, 432 nt
Filed under: Androctonus crassicauda
Lineage: Eukaryota; Metazoa; Arthropoda; Arachnida; Scorpiones; Buthidae
Source: RNAcentral